CUCUCUCUCUCUAUAUAUAUAUGUGUGUGUGUGUGUGUGUACAUAUAUGUAUAUUUCUGCAUAUAUCCAAGCACGAGAAGAUUAUGUGAGAAUUCGGAAUUCGAAGAACAAUUUGCUUUCACUCCAUCCGCUUCAAAUCAUGCAAUUUUUGGACAAGAGGAAUGGUGCAACUCAAACACAUGGAAAAAGGUUGAAGAUUUCCUGAAACAUGGACCAAGUUCUAUUUGAUAGUCUUAAGAACAGUUCAAGAGUAAUGAUCCACUCUGACUUCUGUUUAAACAAUACAAAUGUAGAGACUUCAAUUUCAUGAAAAACUCUGG
Salvia miltiorrhiza (redroot sage) is the source of this 320-nucleotide long non-coding RNA. RefSeq lists it as uncharacterized. The transcript is spliced from 3 exons. NCBI's taxonomy places the organism in Eukaryota, Viridiplantae, Streptophyta, Magnoliopsida, Lamiales, Lamiaceae. The record is from RefSeq and is a predicted model, not a curated record.